This is a long non-coding RNA of Labrus mixtus (cuckoo wrasse), 2144 nucleotides long. RefSeq lists it as uncharacterized. The transcript is spliced from 2 exons. NCBI's taxonomy places the organism in Eukaryota, Metazoa, Chordata, Actinopteri, Labriformes, Labridae. The record is from RefSeq and is a predicted model, not a curated record.
GUGUGUGUGUGUGUGGCAUGUUCAACAACAGAGCUUCAAGUCAAAUUUCCCCUCACAGGAUUAAUAAAGUCCAUCUUCUUCUUCUUCUUCUACUGUUGUAAACGUGUUGGGCAAACGGCGUCCUGCAGUAUGUUCACCACAGACUUGAACAGCUCCCGAUGCUUUCUCUCAUCUACACCAUAAUAUUUCGUUCUUUCACUACCCAAACACAGAACUUGGUCUCUUCGUCGCUCCAGAUGUAAGACGCUCUCGCGGCGCCUGUGCAGGUAGUCGUCAGCUGUCAGAAACCGGGGGAAAGGCAUCAACAUGCCGCAGUGGCCGCCGGCUUUCUCUAAAUGGUGAUAAGGGCUUAUCCCUGAUUUCUGAAACCAGGAUAUAAUGUUUACGUGCCCAAACACAAAAACAGGAUUAAAAACCGGAUCAUAACAGGGAUCCUGACGUCUACUGAAACAAACUCCUAAAAUAUGAUGUUACUUCCUGUUAUUAUUUAAUCACUUCCUGUCAUUAUUUAACCUCAUCUUUAGUUAUUAUAGACGACCCUUAAAGGAAAGUUAAAUCCUGACGUGUCCUCAUCAUAAAAGAGAAAACAAGAGGCGCUCAGUGUCUCCUUUACAGACACUCUGCAGGAGGUACGCUAACACCUCACAGUCCCUCUGAAGUCUCAUCUUUAAGAAUGUUCAUUCAGAGAAUCUGCUGUAACAGAAGGAUGAGAACGUAAACUGAGCCGACCUAAAGAUCUAUCUGGGUCAGCAGCACACACACACACACACACACAUGUCACUGCUGAUUGUCCUUACAGUUAGCAUAUGUUAGCUCGUCUUCUGAUGCUGCGGCGGUGACCUGUAUGUGACCUCGUGGUGAAGAAAAAAAACACUGUGACUGUGUCGACGAGGAACAAAAGAGAGAGAGAGAGAGAGACACAUCUGAGUGUUUGUGAACAGAGGAUGAGACGAGAGAGAGGGAGGGAGAGAGAGAGAGCAAGGGAGGAUGUUUAUGUCAGAGAGGACAGGAUUACAUCCAGUGUGUGUGUGUGUGUGUGUGUGUGUGUGUGUGUGUGUGUGGCCUCUUCAUCUCGUGCCAUCUGUUGUCGCUCUGUAAAGAAAAAAAAAACCUCUCAGGUCCUGAUGAUGAAGACGCUCUCAGUCUGGUCCCAACACAGUAACCUGGGGGGGGGGGGGGGGUCGGAUUACCUCACUCCCCGAGGGCCCCGGAUCACAAGACGGGGCUAAAUUAGACACUACGGGGGGCUAAAGGUGCGUCACUGGCUACCUGACAAUGAGCCAGGUGUUAAAGCUGCUCAGGUGAUCCACACAUGGAGGGAGGAGGGGUUCUGUUUGAGACUGGAUGGACGAGAGCUUCAAACGGAUCAUUAGGUUGAAAGUGAUAAUCAAAUAUAAAGAGCUCGUUUUAACACGUCUGAGCUUCCUCUUUUAGGGUGUUUUGGCGACACUUCGCAAGCUGCCAGGUUGCUGUCGGGAACUGUGUCCCUGGAGACAAACAUUUGGGAAGUCAAACUUCACAGAUUCAGGAUUUAGGGCGCACUCACACUAGGUCCAGUUGUCCCUCCCCAGUCCCCCCUCUGGCCUGCCCUCACACUGCUCCAGGACUAACCGGGCCUGAGCACGGUUACCCCUUGAACGUAACGUCAUAGUACAACACAUGAAUGGCUUUACGUGACUUUGUGUCUUAUUCUGAGUCAUGUUAGUCAGAUACAGAUAGAACACUCCAGGGUUUCUCCAUAAUGAAGACUGUCCACGUUGUGUGUAAAGCUGCUCCAUCGUCCCUUCUGGGCCUCCGUACAUGUGUGUCUGCAGAGACCCUGUCCUCUGACUGGAUUUUACUGUUCUGCUUUGUUUUAUUCGGGCGUAUCAGUUGACUCUGCUCAGCUGCUCGCAGGUUUCAGAGGGAAGUUUUUCAGAGUGUGAGCAGGUUUGUCGAGUCCUGAGCUGCACACGCUCGUCUUCCUGGAAACUCGUAAAUUAUUCAGACUGUCUCUCUGCUCAUUAGUGCCCCCGCAGUCCACACGCUGACGACCUGCUCUCUGCUGCUGCUGCACAACACCACACACACAUCACACACACACACACACACACACACACACACACACACACACACACACACACACACACACACACACACACACA